GCCUGCUUGGCUAAGUGGUUACGGCGCCGCACUUGUACGGAUUAUUGUAAUCAAAGAAUGCGGCGAUCACUCGUUCGAUUCGGGUAGCAGGCA
Non-coding RNA from Mycena rebaudengoi, 93 nucleotides. The record is from the annotation of a GenBank genome assembly. NCBI's taxonomy places the organism in Eukaryota, Fungi, Basidiomycota, Agaricomycetes, Agaricales, Mycenaceae.